ACGUGAAUGGUUUUACCUUUCCAUAUCCUCUUAACCCAUAUCCUUUCAUUCUUAUCUUCUAAUAUAAGCUUAAAAGAAAUAUGGGGACAAAACAAAGAAAACAAAAAUAACCCCAUAUCCCUCAUAGAUGGCAACCCAGAAAACUAUGCCUUCCUAAGCAAGCCACCACGAUCCAUAAGCCGUGCCACCUUAUCACCGGCCAUCGAACACCAGAUGGCAUCGACUUGUUGACCACACCUCGCCGUGCCAGUCAACAUGGUCGUGAGUGACUCCUUACUCGACCACCACACAAUUGUUAGUCUUCUUCUUCAUAAUUAAGAUAGAAUGAAGAGAAGAAGAUGAAGUGAAGAAAUUAGCCAUGAAAGUUGAAAGAGUGGCAUGCUUGAGAUUUCGAGAAGAUUGAGAUUGACAAAGUCAACGGUAGCUGAAAACGUAAAGAUUAGUAAUCAACUAAGUAAUCUCAACCAAUCAUAUAAAAGAAUGGUGACUUUAAGUGAAAAGGAAAAAUUUUGGUUUAUCCGCUUUACAAACGACUGUCGGAUUUUCUGCAGAAAUUUGUAUAUUUUAAAUCAUUUCAAAUGAUUCUUAUAAUGUAAUUUAUUUACAUCUUUUAAAGGUUGUAAACUGUGAUAUUUAAAUUCUUAAUAGUUUUCUAGUGGAUGAUAUAAUUAGUUGAGUAAUUGAUUAUACUAUUAACGUAAUAGCUCGAUAUAAGUUUUAAGCUUCCGCAUUAAUUUAAAUUAAAGUUGUUGAAUCAAGUGCUUAGUUUUGGGUUGUUACAUCUUUGAAGUGGGGUUCGCCUCCUAAUGUAUCAUUCCACUGGCAAAUCCCCUUCUACAUCCAAUCAAUUAAUGGGUCCUCAAAAAAAUUGGUAAAACCAAGCUAAUAAUCAAUUAAGAGCAGAUCUAAAAAGAGGAUGAAAUCAGAUUGCAACGGAUGACCAUACCAAGACAAUGCAAGUGAUCAAGUGGGAAAGACAAAAUUUCCUAGCAGUUAUCCAAUAGCAUUUUGCACAACAACUUUUCGUGUAGUCAUUUAUUUUCAAAACAUUUAAUUGUAUAUUGUAUUAAAUAAUAUUUUAAUUAGUAUUUUAUACCAUAUGAUAAAAUGAACAUUACAACUGCUAUUAUAAUAAAUAUUAAAAUAAAAAAUAUAUGUUGUUUUGAAAUAAAUAUUUAAGAAUAUAUAACAUAUAUGGAAAAUAAAUAAAGAUAUUUUAAAAAAUAUAUUCGUAACAAACGGGUGACGAUAACAAACGGGUGACGAUACUAGUGACCACACAUAUGGUCACUAUUAUUGUUAGUGUUAAUGGUGACUUGAAUGCACCAAAUAAAUUCUAUGCAUUAGUGUGGUUGCAUAAAGGUGGACUCCUAUGAAGGAGUUAUGAUGGGUAUUCAAGUAUGUCUUAAAGUGGUGCUUAAAUUAUGUGUGUUAAUGCAUAGUACUAAUGGGAGCAAUGAAGGUUAGCAUUGAUGAUGUAAGUAAUGGUGCGAAUUAAGUUUGUAUUCAAUAAACUUAAUAAUGAAGUGCAAGAGUUGGGUCAGCAGUAGUUUGCUCGAACAAGGCACUCUAAAACUACACAUGGCUUUGAACGAGGCACUAAAACAGAAGCUAAACAGAAUGGUCUGGGAAGAAGUGCUCGAACGAGUGAGCUGACUACUUGAACGAGCACCUUGUUGUGCUGCAGACAGAGGCUGGCAAAAGGCCCUGCUCGAACGAGCACUGUGAUGGCUCAAACGAGCAGGAUGGUCAGUGGCCUAGGAUGCUCUUUUCUGAUGCGUUAUUCCUUGAAUAUUAGUAACUGUUAUGUCUUUUAAAGUUUAAAUAUUAAUGUAUUACAUUUAAGUGCUUAACCCCUAUAAAUAGGAAGCUCAUAUGUUCAUCCAAAACAUAUACAAAAAUAAACCCCAAGCCAAGCAC
Molecule: long non-coding RNA, 1920 nt
Organism: Amaranthus tricolor (Joseph's coat)
Lineage: Eukaryota; Viridiplantae; Streptophyta; Magnoliopsida; Caryophyllales; Amaranthaceae
Exons: 3
Source: RefSeq, a predicted model, not a curated record